GCCUGGCUGGCUCAGUUGAUACAGUAUGAGACUCUUAAUCUCAGGGUUAUGAGUUCGAGCCCCAUGUUGGGUG
This 73-nucleotide transfer RNA is filed under the name Felis catus (domestic cat). It matches the Rfam family "tRNA". Rfam says of the family: Transfer RNA (tRNA) molecules are approximately 80 nucleotides in length. Their secondary structure includes four short double-helical elements and three loops (D, anti-codon, and T loops). Lineage: Eukaryota; Metazoa; Chordata; Mammalia; Carnivora; Felidae. The record is from Rfam by way of RNAcentral.